UUAUAAAACAGCCAGCGAACUGUUAGUCCGUGUUUACUAAAUUACCCGUCCCUCCCACACCUCAGUGUGCUGUGACUGUGACCCGGCAGCUGACUGACUAAGGACCAUGAAGAGCUCAGAGAUCCUGACCGGACUGAUCAUAGUCGGGCUCUUCACCGUCAUGUGCUCUGGACAAACUUCCCAAGAACUCACAGAUGACACACAGCUGUCCCAGCAGGAAACGGAGAACGAAUUGGUUGAGGCUAUGACAGCACUUUUGGGAAGAUAUCAGCCUCAUGUACCAUCUUCAGAAAAACGUAGCAUUCCACAGUGUGCUGUGGGGUCCCGCUGCGCCAUGAGACUGGGUUCACGCUUUGGGAAAUUGUGUGAAUGUGUCAGAGGAUCUAACUGUAACUCAUUUCUCUUAAAAUGCAUCUGAGUCAUUAAAAAAAGACGCAAAUCCAUAAUCCUUUCCUGAAGCUGUAAAGGCAUGCACCUGAAAGAGGCAGUGGGUGGAAAUCUGUUUUCUGAAUCACUUGUGCAAGGUCUAUGAUAAGCAUUCAUCAAAAUGCAGCAUGACAAACAAUAGCAAAGCAUGGUUUAAUGCGUUUAUUCAU
Molecule: long non-coding RNA, 596 nt
Organism: Sinocyclocheilus anshuiensis
Lineage: Eukaryota; Metazoa; Chordata; Actinopteri; Cypriniformes; Cyprinidae
Exons: 3
Source: RefSeq, a predicted model, not a curated record